RNAcentral lists this ribosomal RNA (492 nucleotides) under uncultured bacterium. RNAcentral describes it as "partial 16S ribosomal RNA". It matches the Rfam family "Bacterial small subunit ribosomal RNA", at positions 29 to 507 of the family's 1533-position model. The record is from RNAcentral.
AGUGAACGCUGGCGGUAGGCCUAACACAUGCAAGUCGAACGGCAGCACAGUAAGAGCUUGCUCUUACGGGUGGCGAGUGGCGGACGGGUGAGGAAUACAUCGGAAUCUACUUUUUCGUGGGGGAUAACGUAGGGAAACUUACGCUAAUACCGCAUACGACCUACGGGUGAAAGUAGGGGAUCUUCGGACCUUGCGCGAUUGAAUGAGCCGAUGUCGGAUUAGCUAGUUGGCGGGGUAAAGGCCCACCAAGGCGACGAUCCGUAGCUGGUCUGAGAGGAUGAUCAGCCACACUGGAACUGAGACACGGUCCAGACUCCUACGGGAGGCAGCAGUGGGGAAUAUUGGACAAUGGGCGCAAGCCUGAUCCAGCCAUACCGCGUGGGUGAAGAAGGCCUUCGGGUUGUAAAGCCCUUUUGUUGGGAAAGAAAAGCAGCAGGUUAAUACCCUGCUGUUCUGACGGUACCCAGAGAAUAAGCACCGGCUAACUUCGUG